AGAGUUGUAUCCUGGCUCAGAACGAACGCUGGCGGCAGGCUUAACACAUGCAAGUCGAACGCUCCGCAAGGAGAGUGGCAGACGGGUGAGUAACGCGUGGGAAUCUACCCAAUUCUACGGAACAACAGUUGGAAACGACUGCUAAUACCGUAUACGCCCUACGGGGGAAAGAUUUAUCGGAAUUGGAUGAGCCCGCGUAAGAUUAGCUAGUUGGUGAGGUAAUGGCUCACCAAGGCGACGAUCUUUAGCUGGUCUGAGAGGAUGAUCAGCCACACUGGGACUGAGACACGGCCCAGACUCCUACGGGAGGCAGCAGUGGGGAAUAUUGGACAAUGGGCGCAAGCCUGAUCCAGCCAUGCCGCGUGAGUGAAGAAGGCCUUCUGGGUUGUAAACUGCUUUUAUCUGGGAAGAAAACGCCCCUGCGGGGGUAACUGACGGUACCAGAUGAAUAAGCACCGGCUAACUCCGUGCCAGCAGCCGCGGUAAUACGGAGGGUGCAAGCGUUGUCCGGAUUUAUUGGGUUUAAAGGGUGCGUAGGCGGCCUGUUAAGUCAGGGGUGAAAGACGGUGGCUCAACCAUCGCAGUGCCCUUGAUACUGAUGGGCUUGAUUUCAGUUGAGGUAGGCGGAAUGUGACAAGUAGCGGUGAAAUGCAUAGAUAUGUCACAGAACACCGAUUGCGAAGGCAGCUUACUAAAGUGAUAAUGACGCUGAGGCACGAAAGCGUGGGGAUCAAACAGGAUUAGAUACCCUGGUAGUCCACGCCCUAAACGAUGAACACUCGAUGUUAGCGAUAUACAGUUAGCGUCUAAGCGAAAGCGUUAAGUGUUCCACCUGGGGAGUACGCCCGCNAGGGUGAAACUCAAAGGAAUUGANGGGGGCCCGCACAAGCNGANNAGCAUGUNG
RNAcentral lists this ribosomal RNA (904 nucleotides) under uncultured delta proteobacterium. RNAcentral's name for it is "bacterial SSU rRNA". It matches the Rfam family "Bacterial small subunit ribosomal RNA", at positions 8 to 944 of the family's 1533-position model. Lineage: Bacteria; Deltaproteobacteria. The record is from RNAcentral.